GUCUAUGGCCAUGCCACGCUGAACAAGACCAAUCCUGUCUGAUCUUGGAUGCAAAGCAGAGCCGGGCCUAGUUAGUACUUGGAUGGGAGAUCACCUGGGAAGACCAGAUGCUGUAGACA
This 119-nucleotide ribosomal RNA is filed under the name Pteropus alecto (black flying fox). Lineage: Eukaryota; Metazoa; Chordata; Mammalia; Chiroptera; Pteropodidae. The record is from RNAcentral.